AAUAGAUACCCAGGUAGUCCACGCUGUAAACGAUGAGUGCUAGGUGUCAGGGGUUUCGAUACCCUUGGUGCCGAAGUCAACACAGUAAGCACUCCGCCUGGGGAGUACGGUCGCAAGACUGAAACUCAAAGGAAUUGACGGGGACCCGCACAAGCAGUGGAGUGUGUGGUUUAAUUCGAAGCAACGCGAAGAACCUUACCAGGUCUUGACAUCCCUCUGAAUACCCUGGAGACAGGGUAGGCCUUCGGGACAGAGGAGACAGGUGGUGCAUGGUUGUCGUCAGCUCGUGUCGUGAGAUGUUGGGUUAAGUCCCGCAACGAGCGCAACCCUUGAUUUUAGUUGCCAGCACGAAAGGUGGGCACUCUAAAAUGACUGCCGGUGACAAACCGGAGGAAGGCGGGGGAUGACGUCAAAUCAUCAUGCCCCUUAUGACCUGGGCUACACACGUACUACAAUGGCCGGUACAACGGGAAGCGAAGGGGCGACCCGGAGCGAAUCCUUCAAAGCCGGUCUCAGUUCGGAUUGCAGGCUGCAACUCG
RNAcentral lists this ribosomal RNA (539 nucleotides) under uncultured bacterium. RNAcentral describes it as "bacterial SSU rRNA". It matches the Rfam family "Bacterial small subunit ribosomal RNA", at positions 777 to 1314 of the family's 1533-position model. The record is from RNAcentral.